AAGCAGUGUGACAUGCCCGUUUUGGUGAUAUACUCUGAUGUAUUAUUUAUUAUUUAAUUGUUUGGGAUAACGAGGUGUUCCAAUUGGU
This 88-nucleotide microRNA precursor is filed under the name Medicago truncatula (barrel medic). Its description in RNAcentral is "MIR2617 microRNA precursor family". It matches the Rfam family "MIR2617 microRNA precursor family". Lineage: Eukaryota; Viridiplantae; Streptophyta; Magnoliopsida; Fabales; Fabaceae. The record is from Rfam by way of RNAcentral.